This 243-nucleotide ribosomal RNA is filed under the name uncultured bacterium. Its description in RNAcentral is "partial 16S ribosomal RNA". It matches the Rfam family "Bacterial small subunit ribosomal RNA", at positions 30 to 271 of the family's 1533-position model. The record is from RNAcentral.
AUUGAACGCUGGCGGCGUGCUUAACACAUGCAAGUCGUGCGGUAACAGGCGUAGCAAUACGUGCUGACGAGCGGCGAACGGGUGCGUAAUACAUGGGGAUCUGCCCUUUAGUGGGGAAUAACCUGGCGAAAGCCGGGCUAAUGCCGCAUAAGAUCUUCGGAUGAAAGCGGGGAGUCGUAAGACCUCGCGCUGAUGGAUGAGCCCAUGUCGGAUUAGCUAGUUGGUGAGGUAACGGCUCACCAA